Molecule: ribosomal RNA, 450 nt
Filed under: uncultured bacterium
Lineage: Bacteria
Description: bacterial SSU rRNA
Rfam family: Bacterial small subunit ribosomal RNA
Source: RNAcentral
AACGAACGCUGGCGGCAGGCUUAACACAUGCAAGUCGAACGCCCCUUCGGGGGAGUGGCAGACGGGUGAGUAACACGUGGGAAUGUGCCCUUAGGUUCGGAAUAACUCGGGGAAACUCGAGCUAAUACCGGAUGUGCCCGAGAGGGGAAAGGUUUACUGCCUGAGGAGCAGCCCGCGUCCGAUUAGCUAGUUGGUGAGGUAAUGGCUCACCAAGGCGACGAUCGGUAGCUGGUCUGAGAGGAUGGCCAGCCACAUUGGGACUGAGACACGGCCCAAACUCCUACGGGAGGCAGCAGUGGGGAAUAUUGGACAAUGGGCGCAAGCCUGAUCCAGCCAUGCCGCGUGAGUGAUGACGGCCUUAGGGUUGUAAAGCUCUUUCGCGCGCGACGAUAAUGACGGUAGCGUGAGAAGAAGCCCCGGCUAACUUCGUGCCAGCAGCCGCCGUAACAC